CGGAAAGGUCCUGCUUUUGUGGGGUGCUCGAGUGGCGAACGGGUGAGUAACACGUGAGUAACCUGCCCUUGACUUUGGGAUAACUUCAGGAAACUGGGGCUAAUACCGGAUAGGAGCUCCUGCUGCAUGGUGGGGGUUGGAAAGUUUCGGCGGUUGGGGAUGGACUCGCGGCUUAUCAGCUUGUUGGUGGGGUAGUGGCUUACCAAGGCUUUGACGGGUAGCCGGCCUGAGAGGGUGACCGGCCACAUUGGGACUGAGAUACGGCCCAGACUCCUACGGGAGGCAGCAGUGGGGAAUAUUGCACAAUGGGCGGAAGCCUGAUGCAGCAACGCCGCGUGCGGGAUGACGGCCUUCGGGUUGUAAACCGCUUUCGCCUGUGACGAAGCGUGAGUGACGGUAAUGGGUAAAGAAGCACCGGCUAACUACGUGCCAGCAGCCGCGGUGAUACGUAGGGUGCGAGCGUUGUCCGGAUUUAUUGGGCGUAAAGGGCUCGUAGGUGGUUGAUCGCGUCGGAAGUGUAAUCUUGGGGCUUAACCCUGAGCGUGCUUUCGAUACGGGUUGACUUGAGGAAGGUAGGGGAGAAUGGAAUUCCUGGUGGAGCGGUGGAAUGCCC
RNAcentral lists this ribosomal RNA (613 nucleotides) under uncultured Propionibacterium sp. Its description in RNAcentral is "bacterial SSU rRNA". It matches the Rfam family "Bacterial small subunit ribosomal RNA", at positions 67 to 691 of the family's 1533-position model. The record is from RNAcentral. Lineage: Bacteria; Bacillati; Actinomycetota; Actinomycetes; Propionibacteriales; Propionibacteriaceae.